CCUACGGGAGGCAGCAGUGAGGAAUAUUGGUCAAUGGACGAGAGUCUGAACCAGCCAAGUAGCGUGAAGGAUGACUGCCCUAUGGGUUGUAAACUUCUUUUAUAUGGGAAUAAAAUGUUCCACGUGUGGGCUUUUGUAUGUACCAUAUGAAUAAGGCUCGGCUAACUCCGUGCCAGCAGCCGCGGUAAUACGGAGGAUCCGAGCGUUAUCCGGAUUUAUUGGGUUUAAAGGGAGCGUAGGUGGAUUGUUAAGUCAGUUGUGAAAGUUUGCGGCUCAACCGUAAAAUUGCAGUUGAAACUGGCAGUCUUGAGUACAGUAGAGGUGGGCGGAAUUCGUGGUGUAGCGGUGAAAUGCUUAGAUAUCACGAAGAACUCCGAUUGCGAAGGCAGCUCACUGGACUGCAACUGACACUGAGGCUCGAAAGUGUGGGUAUCAAACAGGAUUAGAUACCCGAGUAGUC
This 460-nucleotide ribosomal RNA is filed under the name uncultured bacterium. RNAcentral's name for it is "partial 16S ribosomal RNA". It matches the Rfam family "Bacterial small subunit ribosomal RNA", at positions 338 to 795 of the family's 1533-position model. The record is from RNAcentral.